This 66-nucleotide transfer RNA is filed under the name Trigonopterus sp. 4 AH-2016. RNAcentral's name for it is "tRNA-Leu". The record is from RNAcentral. Lineage: Eukaryota; Metazoa; Arthropoda; Insecta; Coleoptera; Curculionidae.
AUUAUUUUGGCAGAUUAGUGCAAAGGAUUUAGAAUCUUUAUAAGUAGCGAGAGCUUACAAAUAAUA